GGUUCCAUGGUGUAAUGGUGAGCACUCUGGACGGUGAAUCCAGCGAUCUAAGUUCAAGUCUCGGUGGAACCU
RNAcentral lists this transfer RNA (72 nucleotides) under Loxodonta africana (African savanna elephant). RNAcentral describes it as "tRNA-His (GTG) (tRNA-His-GTG-8-1)". It matches the Rfam family "tRNA". Rfam says of the family: Transfer RNA (tRNA) molecules are approximately 80 nucleotides in length. The record is from Rfam by way of RNAcentral. Lineage: Eukaryota; Metazoa; Chordata; Mammalia; Proboscidea; Elephantidae.